CGCCGCCGCGGUAAUACGGAGGGUGCAAGCGUUAAUCGGAAUUACUGGGCGUAAAGCGCACGCAGGCGGUCUGUCAAGUCAGAUGUGAAAUCCCCGGGCUUAACCUGGGAACUGCAUUUGAAACUGGCAGGCUAGAGUCUUGUAGAGGGGGGUAGAAUUCCAGGUGUAGCGGUGAAAUGCGUAGAGAUCUGGAGGAAUACCGGUGGCGAAGGCGGCCCCCUGGACAAAGACUGACGCUCAGGUGCGAAAGCGUGGGGAGCAAACAGGAUUAGAUACCCGGGUAGUCCCUGUCUCUUAUACA
This 301-nucleotide ribosomal RNA is filed under the name uncultured bacterium. RNAcentral describes it as "partial 16S ribosomal RNA". It matches the Rfam family "Bacterial small subunit ribosomal RNA", at positions 510 to 808 of the family's 1533-position model. The record is from RNAcentral.